This 254-nucleotide ribosomal RNA is filed under the name uncultured bacterium. RNAcentral describes it as "partial 16S ribosomal RNA". It matches the Rfam family "Bacterial small subunit ribosomal RNA", at positions 524 to 776 of the family's 1533-position model. The record is from RNAcentral.
UACGUAGGGUGCGAGCGUUAAUCGGAAUUACUGGGCGUAAAGCGUGCGCAGGCGGUUUUGUAAGUCUGUCGUGAAAUCCCCGGGCUUAACCUGGGAAUUGCGAUGGAGACUGCAAGGCUAGAAUCUGGCAGAGGGGGGUAGAAUUCCACGUGUAGCAGUGAAAUGCGUAGAGAUGUGGAGGAACACCGAUGGCGAAGGCAGCCCCCCUGGGUCAAGAUUGACGCUCAUGCACGAAAGCGUGGGGAGCAAACAGG